AGAACGAACGCUGGCGGCAUGCCUAAUACAUGCAAGUCGAACGAACUCUUCGGAGUUAGUGGCGCACGGGUGCGUAACGCGUGGGAAUCUGCCCCUUGGUUCGGAAUAACAGUUGGAAACGAUUGCUAAUACCGGAUGAUGACGAAAGUCCAAAGAUUUAUCGCCAAGGGAUGAGCCCGCGUAGGAUUAGCUAGUUGGUGAGGUAAAGGCUCACCAAGGCAACGAUCCUUAGCUGGUCUGAGAGGAUGAUCAGCCACACUGGGACUGAGACACGGCCCAGACCCCUACGGGAGGCAGCAGUAGGGAAUAUUGGACAAUGGGCGAAAGCCUGAUCCAGCAAUGCCGCGUGAGUGAUGAAGGCCUUAGGGUUGUAAAGCUCUUUUACCGAGAUGAUAAUGACAGUAUCGGAGAAUAAGCCCGCUAACUCCGUGCCAGCCAGCCGC
RNAcentral lists this ribosomal RNA (443 nucleotides) under uncultured soil bacterium. Its description in RNAcentral is "bacterial SSU rRNA". It matches the Rfam family "Bacterial small subunit ribosomal RNA", at positions 26 to 518 of the family's 1533-position model. The record is from RNAcentral.